RNAcentral lists this long non-coding RNA (216 nucleotides) under Lathyrus oleraceus (garden pea). Its description in RNAcentral is "Pisum sativum (pea) long non-coding RNA (PSAT_LNC011375)". Lineage: Eukaryota; Viridiplantae; Streptophyta; Magnoliopsida; Fabales; Fabaceae. The record is from RNAcentral.
AGAGAAAUAAUCUUGUAUUGGUUUAAGCCUUUUUGCAUGAUUUAGAAGACAACCUAUCCUUAAUGCAAAGUCAUUCACUUGAUCAAUUGAUCAAUAUAAAUUAGAUUUGAAUCAAGGAAGGUUAAAUCCCUCUAAUCAAUGCUAACUUAUCAACCUUCAACUCAUUGAUCAAAAAGAAAAAGAAGAAGAAAAAGGAGAUGAAUAAGAGAAAUGGAA